This 256-nucleotide unclassified non-coding RNA is filed under the name Hevea brasiliensis (rubber tree). Lineage: Eukaryota; Viridiplantae; Streptophyta; Magnoliopsida; Malpighiales; Euphorbiaceae. The record is from RNAcentral.
UGGGUUUCGAAAACACGGUUACGGUGGAUCCUGUCAAUGUAAUCUUUGGCCUUUCGAUCGAUGCCGGGCUCAGCCACCCAACGGUGGCAUUUAUCGGCGUCGCUGGGCCACACCUUGGUAGGGCAUGAGAAGUCGUCCCAGCUGCUGCCCUGUUGCUGCUGCUGCUGCUCAUAGUAAUGAUCUCCUCUUCUACCUGAUCUUUUUGAUUUGAACAGAGCCCCCAAGAAGGAAAAUGAAGAUGAAUGAGAUUUCUUCG